This 1011-nucleotide ribosomal RNA is filed under the name uncultured bacterium. RNAcentral's name for it is "bacterial SSU rRNA". It matches the Rfam family "Bacterial small subunit ribosomal RNA", at positions 338 to 1344 of the family's 1533-position model. The record is from RNAcentral.
CCUACGGGAGGCAGCAGUAGGGAAUCUUCCGCAAUGGACGAAAGUCUGACGGAGCAACGCCGCGUGAGUGAUGAAGGUUUUCGGAUCGUAAAACUCUGUUGUUAGGGAAGAACAAGUGUGAGAGUAACUGCUCACACCUUGACGGUACCUAACCAGAAAGCCACGGCUAACUACGUGCCAGCAGCCGCGGUAAUACGUAGGUGGCAAGCGUUGUCCGGAAUUAUUGGGCGUAAAGCGCUCGCAGGCGGUCUUUUAAGUCUGAUGUGAAAGCCCACGGCUUAACCGUGGAGGGUCAUUGGAAACUGGAGGACUUGAGUACAGAAGAGGAGAGUGGAAUUCCACGUGUAGCGGUGAAAUGCGUAGAGAUGUGGAGGAACACCAGUGGCGAAGGCGACUCUCUGGUCUGUAACUGACGCUGAGGAGCGAAAGCGUGGGGAGCGAACAGGAUUAGAUACCCUGGUAGUCCACGCCGUAAACGAUGAGUGCUAGGUGUUAGGGGGUUUCCGCCCCUUAGUGCUGCAGUUAACGCAUUAAGCACUCCGCCUGGGGAGUACGGCCGCAAGGCUGAAACUCAAAAGAAUUGACGGGGACCCGCACAAGCGGUGGAGCAUGUGGUUUAAUUCGACGCAACGCGAAGAACCUUACCAGGUCUUGACAUCCUCUGACAACCCUAGAGAUAGGGCUUUCCCUUCGGGGACAGAGUGACAGGUGGUGCAUGGUUGUCGUCAGCUCGUGUCGUGAGAUGUUGGGUUAAGUCCCGCAACGAGCGCAACCCUUGAUCUUAGUUGCCAGCAUUUAGUUGGGCACUCUAAGUGACUGCCGGUGACAAACCGGAGGAAGGGGGGGAUGACGUCAAAUCAUCAUGCCCCUUAUGACCUGGGCUACACACGUGCUACAAUGGAUGGAACAAAGGGAAGCUAAACCGCGAGGUCAGCAAUCCCAUAAACCAUUCCUCAGUUCGGAUUGUAGGCUGCAACUCGGCCUACAUGAAGCCGGAAUCGCUAGUAAUCG